Molecule: ribosomal RNA, 253 nt
Filed under: uncultured bacterium
Lineage: Bacteria
Description: partial 16S ribosomal RNA
Rfam family: Bacterial small subunit ribosomal RNA
Source: RNAcentral
UACGUAGGGGGCGAGCGUUGUCCGGAGUUACUGGGCGGAAAGGGCAUGCAGGCGGUCCGACACGUUUUGUGUGACAGCGGGUGGCUUAACUACCCGAGGAUACGAAAGACGGUUGGACUUGAGGACUCGAGAGGGACACGGAAUUCCGGGUGGAGUGGUGAAAUGCGUAGAGAUCCGGAGGAACACCGAAGGCGAAGGCAGUGUCCUGGCGAGUGACUGACGCUGAGGUGCGAAAGCCAGGGGAGCGAACGGG